This is a long non-coding RNA of Oenanthe melanoleuca, 5322 nucleotides long. RefSeq lists it as uncharacterized. The record is from RefSeq and is a predicted model, not a curated record. NCBI's taxonomy places the organism in Eukaryota, Metazoa, Chordata, Aves, Passeriformes, Muscicapidae. The transcript is spliced from 6 exons.
CCUUCCCCUCACAGUUCCCGCCCUUUCUCUGACCCCGCCCCUUCCAUUCAUUGGUCUCGCCCCCUUUCCUUCUCCAAGCCCCGCCCAUCUCAUGGCGCGUUCACCCCCGCGCAUGCGCAGAACAUUUGGAUGUAGCCUCAGCGGGCGCCGCCAUCUUUGCUGCCUGUCUGCCAGCCCGGUUUCAGCAUGUCCGAGACCUACGAUUUCCUCUUCAAGUUCCUGGUGAUCGGCAAGUGCUGCCUGCUGCACCACUUCAUGGAGAGCAAGUUUAGCCACAACCGUACGGAAGAUCUCGGGAUGUACGAGGAGGCAGGGCCCCUCCCUCUCCGUUGAGUUGCUAAGUUACGUAACUGUAAAAGAAGUCACGUGGGUACGUCGCAGUUAUAUAAGCAGGUGCCCACAGGAAAUAAACCGCAUUUCGCCAUUCAUCAUAUUGGUGUGAUGUGCGAUUUGUCCGGUAAGGUAGUAAGUGCGCCAUGGUCCCAAUCCUAACCAGGUCGCACUAGCCUGAGCCCUUAGGCAACAUAGCGGCACCGAAACCCGGUCUGCUCCCCGGCACACGGGUCUGAGCGGCGGGCGACGGGAAGCACGCUGGCAGACGGGACGACCGAGGCAGCUGGCUCACCCCGGUGGGGAGGACGCUCCCAGUACUGCCGAGAUGGAAACGCUCGGGAAGUUACUGUCAUUCCCAGAAUCCUGUACUAUACUGAUGAAGAAAUUCUUCACCAAUUCGAGAGGAAUCCUCUGCGUCAAAAACGAGAACUAAUUACAGCCAUCAGCCUCACACUGCUGUUGGGCCUAGGAGCUACGGGUACAGCAACAGGCGCGUCAGCGCUAGUGACACAGAACCAAGGCCUGAGCCAGCUACAGAUAACUGUGGAAAAGAACUUGCUUAAAAUCCAAAAGUCCAUCUCUGACCUCGAAUGUUCCCUCAACUCACUUGUGAAAGUCCUGCUACAGAACAGAUGCAGACUGGAUCUCCUGCUCCUACGACCAGUUGUUACCAUUGUUCUUAUGCUUAUAUUUGGUCCCUGCAUCCUUAAUAAGUUAACCCAGUUUGUUAAAGCUCGUUUUAAGCUGAAAUAGCUCAGUUGGAAGAGCAUUUGUUCACUAACAUGUUUAAAAAUUUUUACUUAAAUCUAAAAUCUAAAGGUCUGUCCUGGGUUGAUGUUUUGACUGGCUCCUCACCCUGCCCCCCUUGGCCAUGAAGCUGUCUGCUCCCGGGGGAGGGGCCGCCGGGGCUGCUCGCUUGGCUCUGGCUGCUGCUGCUUGUGGCUAUCGCUGCUGUGGUAGUAGUUCGUUGCCUGGUUUGUUAGUUAGCUGUUUUUUUGCUUGAUUUUUUGGCUUUAUAUUGCUUGAAUUAUUUGGUUUAGCUCGCUGCUGUUUAAGGCUUGCUGGCUAUUCCGGCUGUUUUUUUUUUCCUUUCUCUCUCUCUCCCUCUCCCUUCCCCCGCCCUCACCUCCCGAGGAUCAGCACCAGCUCUGGAGGAACCCUGCGGCCUGCCUCUGGACACCGGCCAGAGAAGUGUCUCGUCCUUCUAGUGAAGAUCGAAUCGUCCACGUCUCUCUCUCGGUGAAAAUUUUUUUUUGUCUUCUGGAUCUGUGAAGUGUUUCUCUUGUAUGUGUUAAUAAAUAGGUUUUUUCCACUUUUCCCCCUGAGUGAAAUAUUUUUUUCUUAAGUCCAGUGGGAUAAAGAAUUGGGGGUUUAUUCCCUGGGGAGCUCUUCUGGGGGUUUUUUCCCCUAAGUUUGUCCAAACUAGGACAAGGUCCCUGGUCAAAUUGAUAUUUUGCUUUUGCAGCAAAGGCAGCUAACUUAAACUAACCACAAAGUUUGUUUCAUUUACUAACAAUUUAGUUUAUUUGCAUGUUGUUAACAAGUUGUUUUUUCAAGUUGCAGUUGUUGUGUUUGUAUAAGUUAAAGUUAAUUGUUCAUGGAGAGGGGGGAAAUGCAGUUAGCCACAACCGUACGGAAGAUCUCGGGAUGUACGAGGAGGCAGGGCCCCUCCCUCUCCGUUGAGUUGCUAAGUUACGUAACUGUAAAAGAAGUCACGUGGGUACGUCGCGGUUAUAUAAGCAGGUGCCCACAGGAAAUAAACCGCAUUUCGCCAUUCAUCAUAUUGGUGUGAUGUGCGAUUUGUCCGGUAAGGUAGUAAGUGCGCCAUGGUCCCGAUCCUAACCAGGUCGCACUAGCCUGAGCUUGUAGGCAACAGAGACAGAGACAGGCACCAGAACCACCACCAGCACCAGAAUGGAGACUGAGACCAAGACUGGGAACAGAACCAACACUAGAAUUCAGACUAGCACCACUCCAGAACUGGAACAGACUAGGACUGAGACCAAGACUGAGACUGAAACCAGUCCCAGAACUGGCACUAGGACCAAGACUGAGAUCAGCACUGGGACGGGCACCAGGAGAGUUCCAGGACUGCUCUGGAACUGGCACUGGGAGAACUCCAGGACUGAGACUGAGAGCAGCACCAGAACCAGGACCAAGAUGCACCGGUACAAAAACCCAAACUGGCACCACUCCCAGACUGAGACUGAGAUUGGCACUGGGAGCACUCUUGGACCAACACCAGCACCAGUACCAGCACUGGGACUGGGACCGCUCUAAAACCGAGACCAAGACUUCUUGCAUCUAAGAUGUUACCUGGGGUAAAUCAACAGGAAAGACCUUUGCAGGGUUUUACAGAGAUAUUUACUCCAGACACGCAUCGAUCCAGGGUUCGGUGAACAAAGGGCGGGACUUUCGUGAGGGUCCAGGUUUAAUACAUGGGAUAAUUAGGGUGGGGAGAGCAUCAGGGACCAAUUAUUAGAUGACAUGGGGGUAGCACAAGGGAGGGGCCAGGCCAGAGGACUGGCACAGGGUUAACUCAGGGAACAGAACAUGGGCUGCAUUCCUUACUUGGGAAAAUCUCUCUGGGUUUCCACAAAGACCGUGAGUCCAAGACUGAAAACAGAACCAGCACCAGCACCAAGACUGGCACUGGAUCCAGACUGAGACCAGCACUGUGGAAGCUGAGACAGAGAGUGCUGUGGAUUUAAUUGGCAUUUGCAGUUUGAUAACCGGGACGCCCUGGCAAGAACAAACAGAGCUUUGAUGAUUAAAAGAAGGCAAAAGGAAAGAAGAUUGAUCUAAAUAAGGAGAAAUGUAAAGUUUGUCUGGGUGAUGUUUAAGCCAAUGAAUGUAGUAAAAAAUGACUGCCUUCCAAAAAUUGGUGUAUAAGUAAAUGUAGCUCACAAUAAAUUUGGAUACUGAUCAUGAGUCAGUAGUCCCUGUCUCUCAGUCGUUGACAAAAUUCCCUGGGACCGGCACCGAGACCAGCAUCAGAACCAGGAUGGAUAUCAGGACUGGGACCAGAACCAACAGUGGAACUGAGAGUGGCACCUCUUCAAGACGGGCACAGGGACUCGGACUGAGACAGAAACUGUCCCCAGACUGGCACUGGGACCAAGACUGAGACAACGACGGACACUGGGAUCAGCACUGGGAAUGCUCCAGGACUGCUCUGGGACUGGCACCGGCACAGGGAGACCUCCGGAACUAAGACUGAGAGCGGCACAGCACCAGAACUGAGACUGGCACCACUCCAGAACCGGGCCUGAGACUGACAUUGGCACUGGGAGCACUCUGGGAUCAACACUGGCACCAACACCACCACUGGGACUGAAACCAUUCCAAAACCAAGACUGAGACUGAAACCAGAAACAGCACUGGCACCGAGACUGGCAUCGCUAUAAGACCGAGAAUGAGACCAAGACCAGAACAACUCAAGGAUCAAGAUUCAGACCGGGUCUGUAAUCAGAUCUAGAAGUGCUCCAGGACUGCUCCAAACUGAGCCUGACACCAGGACCAGGAUGGAGACCGAAACCAGGAGCGCUUGUUCACUGUGGGGAGUUUUGGCUGCGCCCCCACAGAGGACUGGGCAAGACUGGGAGGAAACCCUGGGUAGGGCGGGACCGCCUCAGGUUUGCAUCAUUCUGCUGCAGCCAUUCCAGUCCAUAUGGUCCCAGUUUGUACAAUUCCAGUCCGUGUGAUCCCAGUUGGUACAAUCCCAGUCUGCAUGGCCCUGAUCCAUCUGCUCCCAGCCUGUGCAGUCCCAGUCUGGAGGAUCCCAGUCCAUGUCAUACCAACCCCCAUGAUCCCAGUCUGCACGGUCCUGCAUGACUCACACUGCCAGGCUCUGGAAUUCCAGUUCCCAGCCAGGAAAAGAUGUUCUUGCCCUUCAAGGAAAAGCUCUUCAGAAGGGGCCAAAAGCCAAACGCAGCAAGAUCUUACAAGGAAAUUUCACUGCCUGCCUUCAGAACUUCACCCAUGGUUGUUGCAGCUCCAGCACUGGGAAAUGAAUCAGGGCAGGGUCUUUGGUGGGAGCUGCCCUGGGUCAAGGGAGACCCUGAGAGAGAAACAGAGCAGGCAGAGAGAGGCAGGAGAGGAAGGAGGCCACAAAGACAACCACUGAGAAGGUGCCACUGAAAAUAGAACUGGAACUGACUGAAAGAGAAUGGGACAGGAAUCAGCAAUUGUCAAAGUUUUAUUAUCAAAUCCAUCCUACCCAGCCAGCCCCACACAAUCCCGAUCCCACUGCUCCAAAUUUGGAUCCCACUUCUCCCAAUCUCCUUCCAACCCCUUCUCACCCUGGAGGCUCUGGAAUCCGGUAAGGUACGUGUGGUAUUGAGUUGUUUUGAGGAGGGAACAAGGAACCUUGAAGUUGGAUUGAUCCCUUUGAAGUUAAAAUUGAGGUGUUUUCAGUGGGAUUUGAGAGGUUUUGAGGUGACAGAUCGAUCCCUCUUGGCGUUUGGAGAACAAAGAGAUGGAGAAGAGAGAGAAACGGAAGGCCAACACAAAAGGAUAACCAGGGCAUUGCUGCACCGGGUGGGAUCGGAUAAACUCAACACAUCAACACACUGGGAGCAGCUGGAAUGCUCAAAGGCCAUCAACGGCCAUUAACAGAACAUCAGUGGCCUCCAAGGAACAUCCACCUCAGAUUCUGCCUCUGGCAUGGCUGCAGACAUCUCCUCUGAAACGACUGAUAAAAUCUGGGAAGGAAGAUCUAAUUAACAUCAGAAGGGGAGAAAUAGGAAUCCAAAAGGAGAGCAAAUAUUAGGAAUUGAAUAUUUGAAACUUGAGACCAAAGAACACCAACCCAAUUCAUUUCUAUGGGUACUGACUCCAUAAAAUAUCUGGAAAAUCUCCUUAAAACGGAGUGUCAUGGAAUGAUUCUCUCUGCACAAACGGGUUCUGUGUGGAUGAGGUUUCUGUGCUACAUCCUGGCCACAACAUCCUGCCCAGAUAAUAAAACAACGCCUAAACUUUCUAAAUUUU